This 400-nucleotide ribosomal RNA is filed under the name phytoplankton environmental sample. Its description in RNAcentral is "partial small subunit ribosomal RNA". It matches the Rfam family "Eukaryotic small subunit ribosomal RNA", at positions 587 to 989 of the family's 1831-position model. The record is from RNAcentral.
AGCUCCAAUAGCGUAUAUUAAAGUUGUUGCGGUUAAAAAGCUCGUAGUUGGAUUUCUGCCCUGGGUGACUGACAUCUAACUCUUUCGAGGGUUGUCUGGUUGCACCUCGGCAUCUUUUCGUGGCACGUCGUUGCGCUUUACUGCGCGAUACGGGCGGCGAAUCUUUUACUUUGAGGAAAUUAGAGUGUUUCAAGCAGGUAUACGCCUUGAAUAUAUUGCAUGGAAUAAUGAUGUUGAGCUUUAGCUCUUUUUCGUUGGUUUCUGGAGCUAAGGCAACGAUUAAUAGGAACAGUUGGGGGCAUUCGAAUUGAACUGUCAGAGGUGAAAUUCUUAGAUUUGUUCAAGACGAACUACUGCGAAAGCAUUUGCCAAGGAUGUUUUCAUUGAUCAAGAACGAAAG